Paramuricea clavata is the source of this 397-nucleotide non-coding RNA. The record is from the annotation of a GenBank genome assembly. NCBI's taxonomy places the organism in Eukaryota, Metazoa, Cnidaria, Anthozoa, Malacalcyonacea, Plexauridae.
GAAAGUGCUCAUGCAUCACUCGCAGCGAGCUGCGAGGAGCUUCGUGCGAGGACUGGAAAUCCGCCUUUAUGUUAUAAUCCACACUGGACAGUGAUAGGUUGGCAAUCGUCAGGUUUCAUUUCCGACCUGAAUUCUGAGGCCUGAGUCAAUAAAUGUGUUUUUUUUUUAAUUCAUAGAACAUCCCUUACGUAUUUGUGCGUUCCAAGCAAGCAUUGGGUCGGGCAUGUGGGGUGUCACGACCAGUUAUUGCAGCCGCAGUCACAGUGAACGAGGGUUCGCAACUCAAACCGCAGAUUCAGACAUUACAGAAUGCUAUAGAAAAACUUCUUAUUUAAUUAAGUUUGUAAAUUUUUCUUCGUCAUUUAGUUGUAUAAUAAACUAAUAUUGUGUAUUUGGA